Molecule: unclassified non-coding RNA, 389 nt
Filed under: plant metagenome
Description: partial contains 5.8S ribosomal RNA, internal transcribed spacer 2, and large subunit ribosomal RNA
Rfam family: 5.8S ribosomal RNA (bases 1-105)
Source: RNAcentral
GAAAUGCGAUAAGUAAUGUGAAUUGCAGAAUUCAGUGAAUCAUCGAAUCUUUGAACGCACCUUGCGCCCUUUGGUAUUCCGAGGGGCAUGCCUGUUUGAGUGUCAUUAAAUACCAUCAACCCUCUUAUGACUUCGGUCUCGAGAGUGGCUUGGAAGUGGAGGUCUGCUGGAGCCUAACGGAGCCAGCUCCUCUUAAAUGUAUUAGCGGAUUUCCCUUGCGGGAUCGCGUCUCCGAUGUGAUAAUUUCUACGUCGUUGACCAUCUCGGGGCUGACCUAGUCAGUUUCAAUAGGAGUCUGCUUCUAACCGUCUCUUGACUGAGACUAGCGACUUGUGCGCUAACUUUUGACUUGACCUCAAAUCAGGUAGGACUACCCGCUGAACUUAAGC